RNAcentral lists this long non-coding RNA (831 nucleotides) under Coturnix japonica (Japanese quail). RNAcentral's name for it is "lncRNA (ENSCJPG00005000675.1)". The record is from RNAcentral. Lineage: Eukaryota; Metazoa; Chordata; Aves; Galliformes; Phasianidae.
AUCAACAAGAAAGCAAUAAUCUAAUCUUAAUACAACCUUUGCAAAAGGAAUAAAUCUCUAGAUAUACUUCUUCCUAGAGGGAAAAUGUAAAACAAACAAUCUUCUUGUGUUGGGAAGUUUUUUGGGGAAGUUUUACUUUACACAGUUAGUGGAAGUUUUUCAUUUCCAUAGACACAGUGCAAUGUAGAAUACCAAGCAACUACUGAGCUUUAUCACUUAAGUGGGAAGGGAAAACAAACAAACAAACAAAACAAAAAACAAAACAAAACAAAAAAAAAAAACAAACUGAUUUUGAGUUUACAAUAGACUUUUCCUGAAAACUUUUAAAGAAAUAAUGAAGCAGACAGGGAGAUACUUUUCUGUGCAGGUCAAAAGUUCAAAGUGAAAAAGAAAUUACUUCUUCUAAAAGUAAGAAAAAGGAGAUAGUAUUUUCCUGAAUUCUCUAACAAGAAGUGGCAGGGAUUUCAGUUGUCAUACACAUUUUAAUUUUUUAAGAGAGAGGGAAAAAAAAAGUGAUAUUAGAGCAGACUGAAAACAGGGAUUUGAAUGUGCACAGUAGUAAGUGAUUUUCUGAUAAUCAGUUUAAGUUUUGAUGUUAAAACAAAAUCUAAAUUAUUUCUGUUAACACAGGAAACAUGUAAAAAUGAUACAGUGUUUGUUGUAGAAGACAAGAGGAUGAAGGAAUGUCGCAGAAAAUUGAUGGCAUUGAAAUUCUACUCCAUAUUGGAAAUAAUUUCAAGAAGAUAUAUCAGCAAAUCAAGAUCAAAAUCAUAUUUGGCUGGAUGACUUCAGUACUAACUAAGCAAUAAAUAAUAAAGCAAAAGAAAAACA